This 417-nucleotide long non-coding RNA is filed under the name Sorghum bicolor (sorghum). RNAcentral's name for it is "long non-coding RNA (SBIC_LNC010795)". Lineage: Eukaryota; Viridiplantae; Streptophyta; Magnoliopsida; Poales; Poaceae. The record is from RNAcentral.
CUGUUGGAAGCAUCAAGACGGAUAGGAGGUUUGAUACCUUUAUUUAGCAAAACAUUAUGAUCUUGUGAAAACAUUUCUAAAUAUAGGUAUCUUUUUAUCAAGACAAUCUUGAUGUUUUUUUUUUAUUUUUGCUUUUGUCCCAAAGAAAAAACAAAUCCUUUGCUCUUAUUUUUAUAUAUACAACAAUCUGCACAUUCAAUCAAGAUUUAGAAAACAUAAUUGCACGUGUCCCACAGGAUCCGAUCCAAUAAUGAAUGACGACUAAGAAAAAAUAGUGAAACAUUUUUAUUUUUUUCGACCAAAAAUAAAUAUUUAUUAGAGGAGUUAUAUAUAUCCAUGCAUGGGUGGCACGUCCCCUUAGGCCUUAAUCCCCUUCAUUUUCCAUGAGAUCGAUCGAUCGAAUAAUAGACUUAUGAG